RNAcentral lists this small nuclear RNA (107 nucleotides) under Cervus hanglu yarkandensis (Yarkand deer). Lineage: Eukaryota; Metazoa; Chordata; Mammalia; Artiodactyla; Cervidae. The record is from RNAcentral.
GUGCUCACUUCGGCAGCAUGUAUACUAAAAUUGGAACGAUACAGAGAAGAUUAGCAUGGUCUCUGUGCAAGGAUGACAUGCAAAUUCAUGAAGCGUUCCAUAUUUUU